RNAcentral lists this ribosomal RNA (495 nucleotides) under uncultured bacterium. RNAcentral's name for it is "partial 16S ribosomal RNA". It matches the Rfam family "Bacterial small subunit ribosomal RNA", at positions 30 to 507 of the family's 1533-position model. The record is from RNAcentral.
UGAACGCUGGCGGCGUGCCUCCUACAUGCAAGUCGAGCGAACAGACGCGGAGCUUGCUCCUCUGACGUUAGCGGCGGACGGGUGAGUAACACGUGGAUAACCUACCUAUAAGACUGGGAUAACUUCGGGAAACCGGAGCUAAUACCGGAUAAUAUAUUGAACCGCAUGGUUCAAUAGUGAAAGACGGUUUUGCUGUCACUUAUAGAUGGAUCCGCGCCGCAUUAGCUAGUUGGUAAGGUAACGGCUUACCAAGGCGACGAUGCGUAGCCGACCUGAGAGGGUGAUCGGCCACACUGGAACUGAGACACGGUCCAGACUCCUACGGGAGGCAGCAGUAGGGAAUCUUCCGCAAUGGGCGAAAGCCUGACGGAGCAACGCCGCGUGAGUGAUGAAGGUCUUCGGAUCGUAAAACUCUGUUAUUAGGGAAGAACAAAUGUGUAAGUAACUAUGCACGUCUUGACGGUACCUAAUCAGAAAGCCACGGCUAACUACGUG